RNAcentral lists this small RNA (77 nucleotides) under Enterobacter cloacae. Its description in RNAcentral is "isrK". It matches the Rfam family "isrK Hfq binding RNA". Lineage: Bacteria; Pseudomonadati; Pseudomonadota; Gammaproteobacteria; Enterobacterales; Enterobacteriaceae. The record is from RNAcentral.
GCACCAGCAAAAUCUGGUGCCGGGAUUGGCGUCCCGGAAAUGGUUACAGGCGACACAGACGCGCCAGCGUCUUUUUU